Long non-coding RNA from Peromyscus leucopus (white-footed mouse), 1234 nucleotides. RefSeq lists it as uncharacterized. The record is from RefSeq and is a predicted model, not a curated record. The transcript has 3 exons. Lineage: Eukaryota; Metazoa; Chordata; Mammalia; Rodentia; Cricetidae.
CACUCCGGAGAGCCCCCCCCCCCCGGGCGUCCGCCUCUUCUCCGGGUGCGGGGUGCAGGUGGAGACUCCAGCUGUGGAGGGGACCCCCAGGUUCGAGAUAAUGCCCAGCUGCCUGUUGGAUGGGUAAUCUAUUUUAAUAUGGACUCUGGGAUAGGCUCAGCACACGCCAGACAAGUGCUCCAUGCCAGACAAGUGCUCCAUGCCAGAGAAGUGCUCCAUGCCAGAGAAGUGCUCCAUGCCAGAGAAGUGCUCCAUGCCAGACAAGUGCUCCAUGCCAGACAAGUGCUCCAUGCCGGACAAGUGCUCCAUGCCAGACAAGUGCUCCAUCGUGAAACUCCAGCCCCAGGCCUUUUCCUUUCGCCUGUGGUUUUGUUUUGAGAUAGGGUCUUGCUCAGUCACUCAGUGUGGCCUUGAACUCAAAACCCUCCUCCAGCACCUCAGGAGCAGCAGGAGUCCCAGACCAUGAUGACCAGAACUGUCUUAUUACAGUGCACAUUGAAGGCAGAGGUCCCGUUAAUGCAUUCCUUUGUCUAGAGGACUGAGGCUUUACCAGUAAUUAGCAUUGACAUUGGCCCCAACUUGAGCUGGUGUGCAGAUCCGCAGGGAUCUAUGUACCAAACUCAAGGAAUUCUGAGGGGAGGCUUGGGAUCGACAGCAUGAAGGAGUGUCCUUAAUUAAUCUCUACUAAUUCUUAAAGGAAGCUUCCACUUAUCAGCUAUUUACAUGUACUUAAAUAGAUUUAUGUAUUACAUUAUCUAGUUUGACAAACUCAGCCUGUAAAACAUGGAUAAUUUAAAAUGACUGAAGACAGCAGAAACAUUAUGGACAGCAGUAUAUUCUCAGAAAAGCCCUUCAAAAUCUGUAAGUGCCUUUGAAAAUGGAACAAUUAUAAUUUUAUCCAAUCAUAUCCUUCACUUGCAUGUGCAGCUCCCUGGGAAGCACAGUUAGAGGCUCUCAGAGCCAUCACCCUAAACAUCAAAAUCGACUGCUGUCACUCAGAUUUAUUAAGUGACCUUAUCACAACACAGCUUCUCCAAAUUAGCCAUGUGUGGUGAAGCUCACAUGUCAUCCCUGUACUCAGGAGCCUGAGGCUUGGGGAUGGCAAGUUGGAGGCCCUGUAAAUAAUGAAUUUGAUAUCAGCCUUCACUGCUUAGGAAUAGGCUGUCUCAAACAAACAAAUAAAAAGUUCCACUGGGCGGUGGUGGCGCAUACCUUUAAUCCCAGCACUCGGGAG